UACGGGGGGGGCAAGCGUUGUUCGGAAUUACUGGGCGUAAAGGGCUCGUAGGCGGCCAACUAAGUCAUACGUGAAAUCCCUCGGCUUAACCGGGGAACUGCGUCUGAUACUGGAUGGCUUGAGUUUGGGAGAGGGAUGCGGAAUUCCAGGUGUAGCGGUGAAAUGCGUAGAUAUCAGGAGGAACACCGGUGGCGAAGGCGGCUUGCUGGGCCAGUUCUGACGCUGAGGAGCGAAAGCGUGGGGAGCGAACAGG
This 253-nucleotide ribosomal RNA is filed under the name uncultured bacterium. RNAcentral's name for it is "partial 16S ribosomal RNA". It matches the Rfam family "Bacterial small subunit ribosomal RNA", at positions 524 to 776 of the family's 1533-position model. The record is from RNAcentral.